Molecule: long non-coding RNA, 1031 nt
Organism: Aethalodelphis obliquidens (Pacific white-sided dolphin)
Lineage: Eukaryota; Metazoa; Chordata; Mammalia; Artiodactyla; Delphinidae
Exons: 3
Source: RefSeq, a predicted model, not a curated record
CAUUUAAGAAUCACAGCAUUCACCAAGGAUGUCUCCAAACCUUCUCACACAGAACAAUGAAGAAAAUGGAAAGGGCCGCUGUAAGAGGUAGAGACUGGGCAAUGAGCUGUUUCCACUCACUAGAUAACUGACUCUCAGCCACAACUACUUUGCAGUUCAGUGACUGAAAUUCACGCCUCAGCAAAACUUUGCACUCUGCCUCAUAGAAUGGACUUCUGGAUCACGCUGAAGAGGCUUAGACUUGUUUACCGAUGCAUUUCCCGGGCGUACUUACUGUAUCACUUCAGCGUCUCUGCGCUCGAGCCUCAGAGAUCAAGAAACGGCUGAGAAAUGCAAUAACAAAUAAAGGCUCUUCCAUCUGGCAGGCAUAAGCAUAAACGAGAUGUGAGCCCAGAGUCUCAAUAAAGAAGGGAUCAUCAUCAAUCCACGCUCCACGCAGAGCCCCAAGACAACAGCAGAAUUGCUCUGUGCAUCCUGGUUUACGGAACCAUAGAAACUUUUGAAUCUGAAUCAACCUACAAAGAAUAAAAGAAACAGCUGAAGUCUGUCCUCCUAAAAAGAUGACUAUUGCUUAAUUCUGCUUUUCUGUCAUUUACUCCCACACCUCAGAAGCUUCUGAGAGCAGUUUUGAAGUGCUUUUUUGAACCUGCAGACCACAAACCAACGUCUGUGGCUAGGCAACACCCACUAUCCAUUAUCUGAUGAUUUGGGAAGAAGUGAAAACUUUGCCAACAUUUGGUGAUUUAUACUUUCCAAGAGGAGUUGAAAAUAGAAAAUGUAGACAUUUUCAAACCGUAGAACUUGGCAAAUUCCACUCACACUGAUCAUCUCUGAAGAUUGAAUGUGAUCCCUGCCCCUCUCCACGUGGAGAACUGUCACAGCUCCGGGGCAACGAUUUUCGCCUGAAUUCAACAGCUUUGCGAAGCUCUAGAGAAGAGAAACAAGAAAGGAACCAAAAGGACGUCCUGAACCCUGAUCUACAUUAAGCUGACUCAACGAAAUAAAUAGCAAGGCUCAACUGCUACACUUCA